GUAGGUGGGCAAGCGUUGUCCGGAAUUAUUGGGCGUAAAGCGCGCGCAGGGCGGUUCUUUAAGUCUGAUGUGAAAGCCCACGGCUCAACCGUGGAGGGUCAUUGGAAACUGGGGGACUUGAGUACAGAAGAGGAAAGCGGAAUUCCAAGUGUAGCGGUGAAAUGCGUAGAGAUUUGGAGGAACACCAGUGGCGAAGGCGGCUUUCUGGUCUGUAACUGACGCUGAGGCGCGAAAGCGUGGGGAGCAAACAGGAUUAGAUACCCUGGUAGUCCACGCCGUAAACGAUGAGUGCUAAGUGUUAGGGGGUUUCCGCCCCUUAGUGCUGCAGCUAACGCAUUAAGCACUCCGCCUGGGGAGUACGGCCGCAAGGCUG
RNAcentral lists this ribosomal RNA (373 nucleotides) under uncultured organism. RNAcentral describes it as "partial 16S ribosomal RNA". It matches the Rfam family "Bacterial small subunit ribosomal RNA", at positions 526 to 896 of the family's 1533-position model. The record is from RNAcentral.